UUAGUUCCAUGUUGUUUACAGUGUUAAGAGAAGCUGCUUUGUUUUCUACUGGUUAAAACUUUUCCGUUGUGGACAUAUGCAUGAUUAUAUAUGAUCACGAAAAGAAACAAAAUUCAUAUGACCUUUUCUCCCCCGAUAACGAUUUCAAUUAUGGAUUAUUUAAGCGUAGCGAGCAAUUUACACAAGCAUCGAAAAAAGUUGGUUGCUUUGUUCGAGAGAAAUGGUCCAACAUUUAGUGCGCUCCCGUGAAAGGUCGCGGAAAGUUUUUCCAUGGACUCUGAGUGAGAACGGACGGAGGAAAAUUUCCAUUAUUGUUAGGAAACUUUGUCUAUAUGACGGAAUUUUCUUAUCAUCGAUAACACCAAGGUCGAAUAAAUGUCAAAUAAAUGUACAGCUGAUGAAUCUUUUCCGGCGCUACUACAUUAUCGCGACGUUCCCGUUCGCGAUGUCAGCACAAAAUACACAUUCGUCAAGACACGAAUUCACUCAUCGAUCAUACUCGAUUUACUGUGUUAUAUAAUCAAUAGAAGAAAUACAGUCGCGAUGUAUUCUAACAAAAUAUCAAUUUUUUUACGUUGGACUUUUUUUAUAAACAAAUUAUUUUGUUUAUUACGCAGAUAAAAAUGAUUAAAUUUAUCGAUAUUCUGUAGAGUUGACAAACAUGUUUUAUACAUAAAAAGUUUCACUUUUCAAGAUUUGUAAUCAGCGGUCCAAAAAACAUAGAAAUGCAAAAUUUCACAGAAAUUUGUCAGAUAGAAAGAAUGUGCAACGCAAAGAAUUAAAAUACUCACUCUAUAGUUAUGGAAAAAGAAGCGAAAGAAUAUUUAAGGAAAUAUUAGUGCUAUUCUCUAGUUAGUAAGAAUUUUAGUAAUAACCGUUCAAAAUGAUUAAAAAGUAAUUUUACAACAGCAUUCGUAGGAUAAAAUUAAUAAAUAUUACAAUAUGUGAUAAAUUUUUUUAUUUUAAAAGUUAUCAAAUAUUUUAAAAGUGGCAAAGUAAAAACUUCAAAAAGUUUUAACCUGAGCUGUUUAUUGAAAAGUUGUUAACAAAAAUGUUUAAAAAACAUACCAGUUAACAUUGAUGUAUAAGGUUUGUUAUAUGUAUAUGAAAAGUGUAAUUCCUUGUUUCUAUAAGUAAUAAAUAUAGGUAUUAAAUAUCUUUAUUAAAUCUUUGCCUUAUUAAAUUAAGACUAUGAUAUAUAACAUGCAUAAGUAUACAACUUUAUAGCGUAAUAAGAUAUAGAUUGGGAUAAUAUUUAUUAAUUUUUUGCCUUACUAAAUUAAAAUGUGCGCAAGAGUCUACGAAAUAUAAAAAAUAAUAGAAAAGAUUAGCAAGACUCCUAGGCAAAGUACGUAUUGGGAAUCGCAAACAAAAAUAAACAAAAAAUCCAUGACAUUAUAAUCACUAUACAUAAACAUAAAUAAACGUCGAUAACAGAUAUGUUACAAGUCGGAAUAUAACACAUAACAUUAUUACAUUGCUUCUUAUUACAUUACUUCUUUUGUAAAUAUAAAGAAUAAACAAUUG
This is a long non-coding RNA of Odontomachus brunneus, 1527 nucleotides long. RefSeq lists it as uncharacterized. NCBI's taxonomy places the organism in Eukaryota, Metazoa, Arthropoda, Insecta, Hymenoptera, Formicidae. The transcript is spliced from 4 exons. The record is from RefSeq and is a predicted model, not a curated record.